UACCAGCUCUCCGAGUGGUAGGGAUGAUUAUUGGGCUUAAAGCGUCCGUAGCCGGCUUAGCAAGUUUCCUGUUAAAUUCAGCGACCUAAUCGUUGAGCCGCGGGAAAUACUACUAGGCUAGGAGGCGGGAGAGGUCGACGGUACUUCUGGGGUAGGGGUGAAAUCCUAUAAUCCCGGGAGGACCACCAGUGGCGAAGGCUGUCGACUAGAACGCGCUCGACGGUGAGGGACGAAAGCUGGGGGAGCGAACCGGAUUAGAUACCCGGGUAGUCCCGGCUGUAAACGAUGCGGGCUAGGUGUUGGGGUGGCUACGUGCCACUUCAGUGCCGCAGGGGAGCCAUUAAGCCCGCCGCCUGGGGAGUACGGCCGCAAGGCUGAAACUUAAAGGAAUUGGCGGGGAGCACCACAAGGCGUGAAGCUUGCGGUUC
Molecule: ribosomal RNA, 428 nt
Filed under: uncultured archaeon
Lineage: Archaea
Description: bacterial SSU rRNA
Rfam family: Archaeal small subunit ribosomal RNA
Source: RNAcentral